This 1044-nucleotide ribosomal RNA is filed under the name Triticum aestivum (bread wheat). RNAcentral's name for it is "partial small subunit ribosomal RNA". The record is from RNAcentral. Lineage: Eukaryota; Viridiplantae; Streptophyta; Magnoliopsida; Poales; Poaceae.
AUGGCUAAUGCCUGCACAGACCUCACUGAUGCCGUGCGCUCUGUGCAGCAGCUCAAGAUCAAUGGCUUUUGCGCCACGUCGGCCAUGUCUACCGACUAUUCCAUCAAAUCCAGAUGGAACGUCGAUGGCUAUGAGUGGGAAAUCCGUAUUUAUCCAGCAUCGGGAACGUUCUCGGUGGCAGUAGAGCUUGCCUUUCUCAGCGAACCCCGUACGCCCGUUGUGAGGGCAAAUCUAAGCUGUCGACUGGUUGAUCCGAGAGGCGUUGCUGAACCAUCUGAAAGAACGACUAACUCAGGAGCAUUCUGGCGCCCCAAAGGUCGCUUCUCUACAGUUUUUGUUAAUCUUGGGCAGAGACGUGAUCUAGUGGCAUCGAGUUACCUCAAGGAUGAUACUCUGAUUGUGGAAUGCACAAUAACGGUGCUCAAGGAACUACCAGCGCCAACCAUCUCAGUUAAACCAGGGCCGUACAUGCCACCGUCCAACUUGCACGAGCACUUUGGUGAACUUCUACGAAGCAGAGCCGGUUCCGAUGUUGAAUUUCUCGUGUCCGGCGAGUCGUUCGCCGCGCACAAGCUCGUGCUGUCGGCGAGGUCCCCGGUUUUCAUGGCCAAGUUCUUCGGGAACAUGAAGGAGGCGUGCUCGCGGAGCGUGGAGAUCAAGGACAUGGAGUCGGACGUUUUCAGGGCGCUGCUUGGAUUUAUCUACACCGACGCCGUGCCUGAACUUGAUCAGGAGCUGGAGGCCGUGCCAACGAUGGCUCAGCAUCUACUUGCAGCAGCUGACAGGUACGGGCUGGACAGGCUCAAGGUGAUCUGCGCGGGCAAGCUCUCUGGCGGCAUCACGGUCGACACGGCAGCGACGACUUUGGCUUUGGCUGAGCAGCUCAAUUGCUCGCACCUCAAGGCCAAGUGCGUCGAGUUCAUUACCAGCACUCCUGCUAUCCUUGACGCUGUGGUGGCAUCGGAGGGGUAUAAGCAUCUGGAGGAGAGUUGCCCUUCAGCCCUUACUAGCAUUGUCAUCUCCAUGCGUGCCACAUGGAACUGA